GAAUAAGGCCCGCGGUCCUUAGUUUAGAAAUCAUUGUUUUAAGAAAAUUGAUCUGUAUACGAUAGAAGUGUGGCUGAGCCUGAUCCCAAAGUGCAUCAAGUUAACAAUUAUAUUUGUUUGACAUGUUUCGGAUGUUCCUCCAGAAUUGAAGAUUAUUACAUCCUGGCCCAGACCCAGUCUUAAGCCACUGCAACCUAUGCGGUCGCAGUGGGCCCCGCGCUUUUAUAUGCCCCGCGCUAAUUUUAUGUGUAAUUGUUAAUUGCAAAAUAUAUACGAAAAAUUCCUGGAAAUAACCUGCACUUAUUAAAAUUUCCUGAAAACUCAUAAAAAUCUCAUGAAAAAUAGACAAAAUUACCAUCUGUGUGUGUCAUUCAUUAUGGGAAACGCCAUUCCUACGCGCGAUAAAAAAAAAAAAGACAUUCUCAGCUUUCAUGUAAUAAAAUGUAAUAAUCGGACGAAUUUUGCCCUUAACCGGAAGUUCCAAUACGUAUUUACUUUUAUUGUUACUUGCAUAUAAAUAUGCCAUUGGUUGCAAGAUUGGUAAAGUAAAAUUAACUUGAUCGCAAUUUUGUACUUAGAAAAGAAUGAGUAAAAUGCAAAGCCGAAUUUAUUUUCUAUUACAAAAUCUUAAUUUUCACUUAUUAUCCUUAUUCCCACCCAGACUAGGCCCUGCGCAAUUAGUUUCGCAUAGGGCCCCGCAAUCGCUAAGACCGGCCCUGCCCAAACCUCAAGCAGGACGGCGUCAGCAGGCAGGGUUUGAACCAGGAACCAUCGAGGCCACCAUGUGUCCCAAUCUGUUGUAGUGCCAGAAUGAUGAAAGGAAACACACUACAUGAGAGAACCCAAUAGGUAACAUUUUCUGUAGCAACAAUUUAUCCAGAAUACUAUCGCUCGACUAUAACAAGAAAUCCAUCCACGCAAAAGGCUGAGCUGGGCACACAAUGCGUAGAGCUACAGACAGCAUGGCAAGACAGGCUAAAGACUAGUAGUAGAAAAUGGUUGGGAGACCAAAGUAAACUGGAAUUGCCCAGAACAGAGUCCCAUGUCUAAGCACUGUUACGGCCCUAACUAUGCUCCACUGGUGGUCAGAAGAAUCAAGUUAUAGCUCACAAAGACUUUCUGUAGGGAACAACUCCAGUGAAAAGUCGGACAGGCCAAAAAAAAAAAAGAGAAAACAUCAAGGAAUCUAAUGUUAAUGAAAAAUACUCUAAUCCUGGCAAAAAUCGGAGAAGAAUGGAGAAAGAUAGUCAGCAGAUCAUAUGUGAUUCCCAAACGGUCCAAAAGGCUAAGGGACAGGUGAAGGUAAAUGUAGCUACAACUCAGCAAACAUGCACUUACAGGUGAUUACAAACGACGUGCACAAUUUUAAGAACAAAACAAAAUUGUUCAAUACACUAGCGAGAACAAAGAUGAUUCCGAGAAGCUUAGGUUAUUCAAAGAAUACUUUUAAUUUAUAAUAUAUAACUGGCUUGAAGAAGUAUUAGUCAUUGUAUAGGAUGUUUCGAUGUUCCAUACAGCGCCUAGGCAAGUAGGAAAGCAUGACACAAUAAAUACGAGGGGGAAGGGAGAGAACUAGAAAGAAGGGGAAGUAAUAAGGAGGUUCACAUGAAAAAAAAGGACGUAGAAUGAGAAUACAAUUCACGAAUGAUGUUGAACUAAGCCAAACACAAUACACUCUGGACGACUAUCUUCUGGCGCACAAGAAAUAACACCCUGUUUUGGAAACGUGUCCUGUUUAAUUCUAAAUUUCGAUUUGAUAUUUGUAAAUGCAACAUUAACUGUAAAUUUGAUUUUUAAUUUCCCAUCACAUUAUAGUCUGUCUGUAUUGAUCGGAAUAUCUAGAAAUAAUAAAAAAAUUAAAAUGAGUGAAUCGUCUGGAAAUGUUAGGACAUCACAAGCCAGACUUGAGAAUGCGAUGUUUCAAUAGAAAGUGACAGCCUCUUCCAAGUAAGCAACGGCCUAACCCUAACCAAUUGGGUACAAACAUUUGUAUCCAAAGUUCAAUUUCCUACUGAAAUUGUUUAUUUGCUAAUUAUCUAAAGUUGCGUAACAACAAUCAUGAGCGAUUCUGUGUGGCAAUUCUACAUUCCCUUUGUUUUUCCGUUAUAAAUCAGCAGUUGUGACUUUUGAUUUUCCAAUACCAGCUUUUUCCUUAACUAAAUAAACUGUAUAAGGAUGAA
Molecule: long non-coding RNA, 2180 nt
Organism: Biomphalaria glabrata
Lineage: Eukaryota; Metazoa; Mollusca; Gastropoda; Planorbidae
Exons: 2
Source: RefSeq, a predicted model, not a curated record